UUGCUCGCAGGCGAUGGAGUUCGCCUUCAACCGCCCUUUACGGACUGAUGACUCCUACCUGAAC
Molecule: non-coding RNA, 64 nt
Filed under: Gemmatimonadota bacterium
Lineage: Bacteria; Pseudomonadati; Gemmatimonadota
Description: Gemmatimonadetes bacterium Fluoride sequence
Rfam family: Fluoride riboswitch aptamer (crcB RNA motif)
Source: RNAcentral